RNAcentral lists this long non-coding RNA (3248 nucleotides) under Cucumis sativus (cucumber). RNAcentral's name for it is "long non-coding RNA (CSAT_LNC003075)". The record is from RNAcentral. Lineage: Eukaryota; Viridiplantae; Streptophyta; Magnoliopsida; Cucurbitales; Cucurbitaceae.
UCUUGCUCAACAUCUAUUUAUUAUAUAAAAAAAAGUUAGGGUUAAGUUACAUAGAAUAAGUGUGUGACUGUUAAAUUAAAUAAAAGGAAUAUAGAUUCAUACCUCUUUGUAUGGGAGAUAGAUCGAGAUAGAUAGAGAUGAAUGAAGAUAAAUUUGAUUGUGGAACCAAAAUAUUGAGCAAUGAACAGAAUGCUAGAAACAAAUUUUUGAAAAUUGAUGUAGAACAAAAUAUGAAGAACAAGAAGAGAAUUUUAGAAGUUUUGUUGGAGAAGGUAGGGGAUAAAUGAAUGAUCGAAGAAAAAGUUGUCUAAAUGAUAGAUUCUAUCGGUGAUAGAAGCAUAUCAGUGUACAUAUAUCAAUAUCUAGCAUUGAUAGAAUCUGAAAUUUUGCUAUAUUUUGUAAAUAUUUUGUCACAUUUGCCAUUUUUGACAAUUUUCCUUAAACUAAAUUGUUAAUUAUUUCUCCAAUUAAUUAAUUAUUAAAUUGAAUAUUUUAUAUUUAAUUAAUCUAAAUUUGAAUCAUAUUCUUAAUGCGUAUCAUAUACACAUCAAAUUUUAACCUAUAAUUUUAAUACAUGAAUCUAAUUCACAUUAAAUCAAUAUUUGAAUUUGAAUUCAUUCAAAUACUUUUAUUUCGUAAAUUAAUUUUGAAUCAUAUCAAAAAUUAAAUUUACAUGAUAAAAUUAAAUUAAAGUAUAAAAUUUAUAUUAUAAUGUAUUACCAUAUAUUAUAUCAAUAAAAGGCACCAUCAUCCAUGAAAAGGAACCAUCUUACUUCAUAGCCAAUAAGCAAAAAGGCAGCUCAGCUAGUUCAUAUUCUAUGGUCAUGUUUAGAAUGAAAGUCAGAUAAGACUAAGAAUGUGAAUCAUAUAUGACAAAUAAUUCUCUAAUUCAAAGAGAAGAAUUUGUAGGAACUAAUGGUGGCCAACAAAUUGCAAGUAGAAACAAUAUUGGUGUCUCUAAGUUGCAACAUGAGAGGCAUAUCAACAUGAAUAAAUCAGCAUUAGAAACAUUAGGAUCAACCUCAAGAUUAGAUAAUGCAUCAAUAUCAAGGGACUGUGUUUUAGAAAAUAAAGAGUGUAACAGGAAGAAGUUUUUAAAGUAAAAUAACAUCUCCGAUCCUGAAAUACAAACGGUUAUUUUAGAAACAAUAUAAGAACUCAAUUCUAGUUAAAAACCAUGAUACUAAAUUUUAACUUUCUCCAAAUUAUAGGAACCGAACCGAAGUUAUAACCUAACCUAAUCUUAAUGAAAAAUUUAUGAAUGGAUGGAUCAAAAUGCUAAAUGCUCCUAAAUGCAAAUCUCAAGAAACAUAAUUGAAACUUUGAUAAAAUAGCAAAAUAAAAAAAAUAUGAAAAAAAAUUGUUGCAACAAUGUCUUAAAUGCUCCUACUUUAGUGAAAAACUUGUAUCCCAAAUGUAAUUAUUCCACAAACCACAACUAUUUCGUAAUUAAUUCAAACUCCCAAAAAACAAUGAUUACAUCUAUCCUCUAAUUUUUCCUUAUGAACACAAUCAAAUCAAUUAAAACCUAUAAAAAUCCUAAUUUUCCCCCGAAAUCUGAAAUUCAUCAUCAUCAAAGCUCCACAUUCAAAACAUAAUUAAUUUGGAUAGACAUGUAAUGCCCCAAAAACUAAGGUAAUAUUGAAUUUAAUUAUCUUUAUUUUUUAUUUAAUUAUGUUGGAACUAUUGACCGUUAAUUUGAAAUAUUUGAUUUCAAAUCGAUGGUUUUAUGAAAUUAGAAUUAAUUAAAUAUUCAAACAACAAAUAUUUAAUUAAUUAGAAGAAUUGAAUUUUUGGUGUCAUUGAGAUUGAAUUUAAUUAAAUAAUUUGGGAGUGAUUUUUUUUUUGUUAGAGAUUUGACAAUUAUGUGUAUAUGUUGUUAUAUAUAUAAUUAUUAUGGAAAAGAGUAAAGAUAGUUUUAUUUAGGUUAAUUUUCAUAAACAUAACAAACGUAUCAAAUAUUUACGGUCCGUGUAACAAAAUGAAAAAAUCCAUGAAACUUACCAUUUUUUAAAAAUAUGGGUCUUUAACUCAUAUAGUCUAAAUUGCUAUAUGAUAUUACAUGAAGGAUCCAAAUUACUAAUAAAUUUCAUAAAAGCUCUAAAUGAACUAGUAUAUUACAUAAAUGUAGGCUCAAAUUACUUUAAUACUCAUUCAUAUUAUUUAAUUGAUUUAUAACAAAUAUCUAAAUGAAAAAAAUCAUGGAAUAUAGUUUUGAAAAGAAGUGGGGCCCAAAUUAAUUUAAUACGAAUUUCUAUUAUUUAAUUGAUUUAUAACAAAUAUCUAAAUGGAAAAAAUAAUGAGAUACGAUUUUGGAAAGAAGUGGAAAACUUUUCAUGCUUUCCUUCCACGAAAACGGUUGUCUACUCCUUCCAACGUGGAUUACGAUUUUUACUUCGAAAUGUUAGAGAGUUCGGAGGUAAAGAAGAAGACAGUCGACGACCGACAAAUACAAAACUUCUCGAACAUAAUCUAGUUAAAAACUUCGAGGUUAAUAUUGUAUAUAUUCAACACAUAUGAAACAUUAGGUAUAUUAGGUAUAUUUUAGAUAUUCAAUUAAAUAGUUAAUCAAAUGAAAAUGUAGUUUUGAAUGUGAUACAUUUUAGGGUUUAUUGAGAUUUCGACGGUAAAGAAGAAAACUUUCGAUGGCCGAAAAAUACAAAACUUAUCCGAUAGAAUCUAGCUAGGAAUUUUGUGAUUAAUAUUAUAUAUAUUUAAAACAAAUGAAACAUUCGGUAUAUUAGGUAUAUUUUAGAUUAUAUUCAAAACAUAUGAUGAUAGAACUAAGUCAUGCACAGCGGAAAAAGAAUCGAAUUUCUACCCUAAUUGCCACAAUUAACAUGUAACCAUAAACUAAUCAAAUUAGGGUUUUAAGAAAUAUUACCUUUGAAGCUUUCAAAAGGUUUGAUAUCUUCUUACCAAUUCUAACCGAGACCACCACUAGUACUCAACUGCUAUCCUCUAGACAAAGAACCGGGUUGUGAGACCUAAUUUUGGUGUAGAAAGUAAUGGAGAUAAAAUGGGAUUGGAAGGUUUUUUUUUCUUUGUUGAGAUGAUGAAAAUGAUAAAAGAGGCAAAAGUUUUUUCAACAUUUGAAAACACCUCCAUUUAUAACCUAAUUACAUGCAAAAAUGCAUGCAAUUCAUUUGCCAAAUCUCAUCACCUAAUGUUCCACUAACAAUUAGUGGAACUUAGUGGGCUAGGUGUCUAUAUCUCAUAUAGCCACAUAUCCCACUAAGAGUUAGUGG